GCCUUCUCCAUUGCACGUGCGUGCCAUCUUACCUUCUCAUCGUCCAUCUCCAGGGGAACCAUACAGAAGUCAAGCGUCAUGGGAGGCACAUGCAUGCGCCUAUUCCGGGUUAUCUUGCCAAGGGGGACACUCCUGCGCAAGAGAGUAAGCAAGCGGCGCACACGCCAUGAAAACGUCCCCUUUGAACAGAUUUUGGAAGCAAGUUGCAGGGUGUCCACUGUCUCGUUAGCGUAAGGUUUCACUCCAAGGAUGAGUUGGACUGUCUUGCUGAUGCCCAAGCGGCCGAGAAUCGAGAAUGUUGAAAAAAAAAAGAUGGACGAAAAUUAAAAUGAGAACACAUACAAAAAGCAAAAAGUUACUGCAUGCAUUGUCGUCUUGCAGCAUUUAAAAGAAGGGCAUACAACUGUCAACUUCUUCUAAGUACCAGAAUUUUCUCAUUGUUACAUGUUCUCAAAUAUAUCUAGUAUUUCCGAGAUCUCAGUUCAACGAAAAGACAACAAAAAAAAACGCAUAAAAGAAAAACCGGAAACUUUUAUGACGAUCAAAUGGUUCUAAGUACCAGAGUAUUGUCCUUGUUACAUUUUCUCCAAUAUAUCUAAUAUUUCCGAGAUCUCGUCUCAAUAAAAGGACAACCAGAAAAGUAUACGACGGUUAAAUGGUUCUAAGUACCAUAGUAUUCUCCGUGUUACAUUUUCUCAAAUAUAUCUAACAUUUCUGAGAUCUCAGCUCAAUAAAAGGAAAACCAGAAACGUAUACAACGGUUAAAUGGUUCUAGGUACCCGAGUUUUUCCUCGUUACAUUUUCUCAGAUAUAUCUAAUACUUUCGAGAUCGCGGCUCAAUAAAAGAAAAACAGAAAACGUAUACAACGGUCAGCUUCUUCCAACCACCAGAGUUUUCUCCAUGUUACGAUUUCUCAGAUACAUCUAAUAUUUCCGUGAUCUCGACUCAAUAAAAGGAAAACCGAAACCCAUAAAAAAAAUCACAGAAACGUAUACAAAGGUCAACUUUUCCGGAGUACCGGAGUUUUUUGCUUGUUACAUUUUCUCAAAUAUGUCUGAUAUUUCCGAGAUCUCGGCUCAAUAAAAGGAAAAACAGAAACGCAUAAG
This 1107-nucleotide long non-coding RNA is filed under the name Brachypodium distachyon (stiff brome). Its description in RNAcentral is "long non-coding RNA (BDIS_LNC002401)". Lineage: Eukaryota; Viridiplantae; Streptophyta; Magnoliopsida; Poales; Poaceae. The record is from RNAcentral.